UAGAGCUCCUUCUAUUUCCCAAUCCAGUGU
RNAcentral lists this non-coding RNA (30 nucleotides) under Mus musculus (house mouse). The record is from RNAcentral. Lineage: Eukaryota; Metazoa; Chordata; Mammalia; Rodentia; Muridae.